UAGGGAAUCUUCGGCAAUGGACGAAAGUCUGACCGAGCAACGCCGCGUGAGUGAAGAAGGUUUUCGGAUCGUAAAACUCUGUUGGUAGAGAAGAACGUUGGUGAGAGUGGAGAGCUCAUCAAGUGACGGUAACUACCCAGAAAGGGACGGCUAACUACGUGCCAC
Molecule: ribosomal RNA, 165 nt
Filed under: uncultured bacterium
Lineage: Bacteria
Description: partial 16S rRNA
Rfam family: Bacterial small subunit ribosomal RNA
Source: RNAcentral